RNAcentral lists this ribosomal RNA (445 nucleotides) under uncultured Nocardioides sp. Its description in RNAcentral is "bacterial SSU rRNA". It matches the Rfam family "Bacterial small subunit ribosomal RNA", at positions 338 to 795 of the family's 1533-position model. Lineage: Bacteria; Bacillati; Actinomycetota; Actinomycetes; Propionibacteriales; Nocardioidaceae. The record is from RNAcentral.
CCUACGGGGGGCAGCAGUGGGGAAUAUUGGACAAUGGGCGAAAGCCUGAUCCAGCAACGCCGCGUGAGGGAUGACGGCCUUCGGGUUGUAAACCUCUUUCAGCAGGGACGAAGCGCAAGUGACGGUACCUGCAGAAGAAGCACCGGCCAACUACGUGCCAGCAGCCGCGGUAAUACGUAGGGUGCGAGCGUUGUCCGGAAUUAUUGGGCGUAAAGGGCUCGUAGGCGGUUUGUCGCGUCGGGAGUGAAAACUCAGGGCUUAACCCUGAGCCUGCUUCCGAUACGGGCAGACUAGAGGUAUGCAGGGGAGAACGGAAUUCCUGGUGUAGCGGUGAAAUGCGCAGAUAUCAGGAGGAACACCGGUGGCGAAGGCGGUUCUCUGGGCAUUACCUGACGCUGAGGAGCGAAAGUGUGGGGAGCGAACAGGAUUAGAUACCCUUGUAGUC